This 403-nucleotide ribosomal RNA is filed under the name uncultured bacterium. RNAcentral describes it as "partial 16S ribosomal RNA". It matches the Rfam family "Bacterial small subunit ribosomal RNA", at positions 30 to 526 of the family's 1533-position model. The record is from RNAcentral.
AUUGAACGCUGGCGGCAGGCCUAACACAUGCAAGUCGAGCGCGCGGCGGACGCGUGAGUAAUGUAUGUGGACUGCCCCAUAUAGGGGGAUAUCUCCUCGAAACGCUAUCUCAUACCCCAUACUCUCGCAUUACCCAUAUGGGAUUAGCUAGUAGGUGGGGUAAUGGCUCACCUAGGCGACGAUCUCUAGCUGGUCUGAGAGGAUGAUCAGCCACACUGGGACUGAGACACGGCCCAGACUCCUACGGAGGCAGCAGUGGGGAAUAUUGCACAAUGGGCGCAAGCCUGAUGCAGCCAUGCCGCGUGUAUGAAGAAGGCCCUAGGGUUGUAAAGUACUUUCAGUCGGGAGGCGUUACCGACAGAAGAAGCACCGGCUAACUCCGUGCCAGCAGCCGCGGUAAUUC